UCAUGCAAGUCGAGCGAACGGACGAGAAGCUUGCUUCUCUGAUGUUAGCGGCGGACGGGUGAGUAACACGUGGAUAACCUACCUAUAAGACUGGGAUAACUUCGGGAAACCGGAGCUAAUACCGGAUAAUAUUUUGAACCGCAUGGUUCAAAAGUGAAAGACGGUCUUGCUGUCACUUAUAGAUGGAUCCGCGCUGCAUUAGCUAGUUGGUAAGGUAACGGCUUACCAAGGCAACGAUGCAUAGCCGACCUGAGAGGGUGAUCGGCCACACUGGAACUGAGACACGGUCCAGACUCCUACGGGAGGCAGCAGUAGGGAAUCUUCCGCAAUGGGCGAAAGCCUGACGGAGCAACGCCGCGUGAGUGAUGAAGGUCUUCGGAUCGUAAAACUCUGUUAUUAGGGAAGAACAUAUGUGUAAGUAACUGUGCACAUCUUGACGGUACCUAAUCAGAAAGCCACGGCUAACUACGUGCCAGCAGCCGCGGUAAUACGUAGGUGGCAAGCGUUAUCCGGAAAUUUUUGGGGGGAAAAGGGG
Molecule: ribosomal RNA, 535 nt
Filed under: Staphylococcus aureus
Lineage: Bacteria; Bacillati; Bacillota; Bacilli; Caryophanales; Staphylococcaceae
Description: bacterial SSU rRNA
Rfam family: Bacterial small subunit ribosomal RNA
Source: RNAcentral